GUCAGGAUGGGCUGAGCGGUCUAAGGCGCCAGACUCAUAUUCUGUCCACGAAUGUGCGGUUCGAAUCCCACUUCUGACA
Molecule: non-coding RNA, 79 nt
Organism: Trichonephila clavata
Lineage: Eukaryota; Metazoa; Arthropoda; Arachnida; Araneae; Nephilidae
Source: the annotation of a GenBank genome assembly